AGCGAACGCUGGCGGCAGGCUUAACACAUGCAAGUCGAGCGGGCCCUUCGGGGUCAGCGGCGGACGGGUGAGUAACGCGUGGGAACGUGCCUUCUGGUCUGGAAUAACCCUGGGAAACUAGGGCUAAUACCGGAUACGCCCUUUUGGGGAAAGGUUUACUGCCGGAAGAUCGGCCCGCGUCUGAUUAGCUAGUUGGUGGGGUAACGGCCUACCAAGGCGACGAUCAGUAGCUGGUCUGAGAGGAUGAUCAGCCACACUGGGACUGAGACACGGCCCAGACUCCUGCGGGAGGCAGCAGUGGGGAAUAUUGGACAAUGGGCGCAAGCCUGAUCCAGCCAUGCCGCGUGAGUGAUGAAGGCCUUAGGGUUGUAAAGCUCUUUUAUCCGGGACGAUAAUGACGGUACCGGAGGAAUAAGCCCCGGCUAACUUCGUG
This 433-nucleotide ribosomal RNA is filed under the name uncultured bacterium. RNAcentral describes it as "partial 16S ribosomal RNA". It matches the Rfam family "Bacterial small subunit ribosomal RNA", at positions 29 to 507 of the family's 1533-position model. The record is from RNAcentral.